UCGGCUCCAUUGGUGGCCACUAAACCCCCGGGGGAAUUGUUGGUAUUGAGUCGCGCGGCGAGUUUUAAAACGCAGGCUGAGGUAAUCGAAUAAAUGAACGAGUGCGGGAACGAGCUUUGUCACUCGAAAGGAAGCGACGAUGUAACGCCCUUGUCCGAGCAGACGGACAUUCACCCUCACACCCCCACAACAGCAACGGGCGAUCUUCCUCGGGACUGGGGGUUGCGACCAACCACUGACGAUUGCAGCAGAUACCAGGGAUAGACCCCCCUCCCCUUUCCCCGCGACGGGGGAAAAGGGGGAAAUCUCGCGACACCUCAAAACACACACAUUCCGUCACGGGGCGCACGAGGUCGCGGGAGAGCCGCCGGAUCUUCUCCGGUCCGCUAGCUAGCCAGGUAGGUCGGUAGGUAGGUACGUCAGAAGCACCGUCAUCCGGUCACCGCCACCAACUUCACGAGCAUCAAGAGAUAUGCCGUAUUUUCCGUACGUCAGCAGGGAUUCAGAUCCCAAUAGCCCUAUACUGCCUGUCUUCGCAAAAACACACCCCGCUAGCUUUCCGAAAACCCACAUUAAGCCGCCGCCGCAGCAGCAGCAGCAGCAGCAGCCACGACGCCGUCGUUCUUUACCCUGCGCGCCCUUGCCUCACGCGAGGGCGACCUGGGACUGCGGGCACGGGCGCUCCGACUAGUCUGUCCGUAUGUCUGUCUAGCUACAGCCCGGCUCAUCCUCGUACAGGCCGUUCUCGUCACCCUGCGCGGCCCCCACACCCCGAACAGCUGGGCCCCCCGCCCUCCUGCCGCCUCUUCUCCUUUCCCCCCGCUGCGGCAGUGCUUCCACCUCCUCCCCCACUUCCUCUUGGCCGCCGUCCUGCUCCGAGCCCCCUUUCCCAUCCCCCCUCUUCUCCAUGACCUCGUCCAUGUCAUCGUCGUCAACUACCAGCUCCCGACCCCGGACAGUGANNN
This 965-nucleotide long non-coding RNA is filed under the name Volvox carteri. Its description in RNAcentral is "long non-coding RNA (VCAR_LNC002163)". The record is from RNAcentral. Lineage: Eukaryota; Viridiplantae; Chlorophyta; Chlorophyceae; Chlamydomonadales; Volvocaceae.